GCGAUGUGGAUGUCUUCUGGAACGCGUAGUCGCGAAACGACUGCGUAAAACAAAGCAAUAACCGGAAAUUGGAUUUUUUAUAAGUUUAAAUAGAAAUUCACGAAGGUCUUUGGCGGGAACGACGAGAAGAAUAAAGAAGCUAACAGAGUAUUCUACGAUAUUAUAAUAACAAGUAAAAGUAACGGAAGAGAAUGAUGACUGGUAGGUGUGGCGAUUAUUGGUUGCCCCUGUACACAAGACUCCACCUACCUGUACGCCUAUUUCGGUUCUAAACUGGGAUAGUAUUUCUUCUAAACGAACAGGUAUUUCAUUAUGGUAUAUUUUAUGAUAAAUAUUCAUUGAAUAUUAUAUAUUUUUUAAAGGAGAAUUGCAAAAUAUUUAAGAGUAGCAAUAUUAUUGAUUUAACUAUUUUCUUCCUAUAUAAUUAUAUUAAUAUAAUUUUUACGUUAGAACAUACUUGGAUAUCUACAAAAAUUAGUCACCAAUUGUUUUUUUAAAUACCAAAUGCUUAAGAUAUCAACGAUAAAUAAUUAAUAAAACUAUGAAGAAAUACUGCUACUAUAAAGUAAUUUGCAAACUUUUGAAAAAUGUUGCAUUGCUAUAUUAAACAAUUCUUAAGGAUACAAUAAUAAAUAAUUGACAAAACUAUAGAAAUAUUGUUAUUGUGCUAAAGAAUAAUUCACAAAUUUUUUAAAAAUUCUCUAUUACUAUAUUAUACUGUGUGACAUAUGUAUUAUGAAAACUACACAACUGUAUCAAAUAAA
Long non-coding RNA from Bombus pascuorum, 764 nucleotides. RefSeq lists it as uncharacterized. The transcript has 2 exons. NCBI's taxonomy places the organism in Eukaryota, Metazoa, Arthropoda, Insecta, Hymenoptera, Apidae. The record is from RefSeq and is a predicted model, not a curated record.